GUCCCUGUAGUGCAAUGAAUAGCACAUUGAACCUCUAAUCCAACUGUCAUGGGCUUGAAUCCCAUCUGAGGUU
Molecule: non-coding RNA, 73 nt
Organism: Trichonephila clavipes
Lineage: Eukaryota; Metazoa; Arthropoda; Arachnida; Araneae; Nephilidae
Source: the annotation of a GenBank genome assembly